CCUACGGGUGGCAGCAGUGGGGAAUAUUGCGCAAUGGGCGAAAGCCUGACGCAGCGACGCCGCGUGAGGUAUGAAGGUCUUCGGAUCGUAAACCUCUGUCAGCAGGGAAGAACGGUCACUGUGCUAAUCAGCAGUGACUUGACGGUACCUGCAAAGGAAGCACCGGCUAACUCCGUGCCAGCAGCCGCGGUAAUACGGAGGGUGCGAGCUUUAAUCGGAAUUACUGGGCGUAAGGCGCUCGUAGGCGGUAUGUCAAGUCAAGGGUGAAAUCCCCGCGCUCAACGUGGGAACUGCCUUUGAAACUGGCAAACUGGAGUGUGUGAGAGGAUAGUGGAAUUCCAGGUGUAGGAGUGAAAUCCGUAGAUAUCUGGAGGAACAUCAGUGGCGAAGGCGACUAUCUGGCACAUAACUGACGCUGAGGAGCGAAAGCGUGGGUAGCAAACAGGAUUAGAUACCCGAGUAGU
RNAcentral lists this ribosomal RNA (464 nucleotides) under uncultured bacterium. RNAcentral describes it as "partial 16S ribosomal RNA". It matches the Rfam family "Bacterial small subunit ribosomal RNA", at positions 338 to 794 of the family's 1533-position model. The record is from RNAcentral.